RNAcentral lists this ribosomal RNA (603 nucleotides) under Meyerozyma guilliermondii. RNAcentral describes it as "eukaryotic LSU rRNA". It matches the Rfam family "Eukaryotic large subunit ribosomal RNA", at positions 37 to 655 of the family's 3401-position model. The record is from RNAcentral. Lineage: Eukaryota; Fungi; Ascomycota; Pichiomycetes; Serinales; Debaryomycetaceae.
UGCAUAUCAAAUAAGCGGAGGAAAAGAAACCAACAGGGAUUGCCUUAGUAGCGGCGAGUGAAGCGGCAAAAGCUCAAAUUUGAAAUCUGGCGCCUUCGGUGUCCGAGUUGUAAUUUGAAGAUUGUAACCUUGGGGUUGGCUCUUGUCUAUGUUUCUUGGAACAGGACGUCACAGAGGGUGAGAAUCCCGUGCGAUGAGAUGCCCAAUCCUAUGUAAGGUGCUUUCGAAGAGUCGAGUUGUUUGGGAAUGCAGCUCUAAGUGGGUGGUAAAUUCCAUCUAAAGCUAAAUAUUGGCGAGAGACCGAUAGCGAACAAGUACAGUGAUGGAAAGAUGAAAAGAACUUUGAAAAGAGAGUGAAAAAGUACGUGAAAUUGUUGAAAGGGAAGGGUUUGAGAUCAGACUCGAUAUUUUGUGAGCCUUGCCUUCGUGGCGGGGUGACCCGCAGCUUAUCGGGCCAGCAUCGGUUUGGGCGGUAGGAUAAUGGCGUAGGAAUGUGACUUUACUUCGGUGAAGUGUUAUAGCCUGCGUUGAUGCUGCCUGCCUAGACCGAGGACUGCGAUUUUAUCAAGGAUGCUGGCAUAAUGAUCCCAAACCGCCCGUCUU